CCUACGGGACGCAGCAGUGGGGAAUAUUGCACAAUGGGCGCAAGCCUGAUGCAGCCAUGCCGCGUGUGUGAAGAAGGCCUUCGGGUCGUAAAGCACUUUCAGCGGGGAGGAAGGCGGUGAGGUUAAUAACCUCACCGAUUGACGUUACCCGCAGAAGAAGCACCGGCUAACUCCGUGCCAGCAGCCGCGGUAAUACGGAGGGUGCAAGCGUUAAUCGGAAUUACUGGGCGUAAAGCGCACGCAGGCGGUCUGUCAAGUCGGAUGUGAAUCCCCGGGCUCAACCUGGGAACUGCAUUCGAAACUGCCAGGCUAGAGUCUUGUAGAGGGGGGUAGAAUUCCAGGUGUAGCGGUGAAAUGCGUAGAGAUCUGGAGGAAUACCGGUGGCGAAGGCGGCCCCCUGGACGAAGACUGACGCUCAGGUGCGAAAGCGUGGGGAGCAAACAGGAUUAGAUACCCCCGUAGUC
This 464-nucleotide ribosomal RNA is filed under the name uncultured bacterium. RNAcentral's name for it is "bacterial SSU rRNA". It matches the Rfam family "Bacterial small subunit ribosomal RNA", at positions 338 to 795 of the family's 1533-position model. The record is from RNAcentral.